UCAUUAUUAUAUAAUAUAGUCAUGGUUAUUAUAAUGAUAAAUGGUUUUAUUACGUACCCCGCAUCAUAUUCGUAUAAAUAGAACACUUAUCCGUUAUUAAUCCCCAGUCUCUAGUUCUCCGCAAAACAUAAAACUGAUCGUCUGUAAGAGUAUCUAAUUUACGAUGAACAGUGAUCACUUUAGUCAUACUAUUAUGAUGUACCAUGAACAUUACGCAAAAACUAUAAAAGACACACACUAUAACGUCCAAAAGCAUUUUGGAAAAUGCAUUUAUAAUUGGCAGUCAUUAUAGCGUUAGUUUAAACCAUACACUUGUUAAUUAAUUUAUCAAUUUAUCUAUAAGCAUU
Molecule: non-coding RNA, 347 nt
Organism: Cinara cedri
Lineage: Eukaryota; Metazoa; Arthropoda; Insecta; Hemiptera; Aphididae
Source: the annotation of a GenBank genome assembly